AGUGAACGCUGGCGGUAGGCCUAGCACAUGCAAGUCGAACGGCAGCACAGUAAGAGCUUGCUCUUACGGGUGGCGAGUGGCGGACGGGUGGGGAAUACAUCGGAAUCUACUUUUUCGUGGGGGAUAACGUAGGGAAACUGACGCUAAUACCGCAUACGACCUACGGGUGAAAGCAGGGGAUCUUCGGACCUUGCGCGAUUGAAUGAGCCGAUGUCGGAUUAGCUAGUUGGCGGGGUAAAGGCCCACCAAGGCGACGAUCCGUAGCUGGCCUGAGAGGAUGAUCAGCCACACUGGAACUGAGACACGGUCCAGACUCCUACGGGAGGCAGCAGUGGGGAAUAUUGGACAAUGGGCGCAAGCCUGAUCCAGCCAUACCGCGUGGGUGAAGAAGGCCUUCGGGUUGUAAAGCCCUUUUGUUGGGAAAGAACAUCAGCAUGUUAAUCCCCCGCUGUUCUGACGGUACCCAAAGAAUAAGCACCGGCUAACUUCGUG
RNAcentral lists this ribosomal RNA (492 nucleotides) under uncultured bacterium. RNAcentral describes it as "partial 16S ribosomal RNA". It matches the Rfam family "Bacterial small subunit ribosomal RNA", at positions 29 to 507 of the family's 1533-position model. The record is from RNAcentral.